RNAcentral lists this ribosomal RNA (433 nucleotides) under uncultured bacterium. Its description in RNAcentral is "partial 16S ribosomal RNA". It matches the Rfam family "Bacterial small subunit ribosomal RNA", at positions 29 to 507 of the family's 1533-position model. The record is from RNAcentral.
AACGAACGCUGGCGGCAUGCCUAACACAUGCAAGUCGAACGAGGCCUUCGGGUCUAGUGGCGCACGGGUGCGUAACGCGUGGGAACCUGCCCUUAGGUUCGGAAUAACUCCCCGAAAGGGGUGCUAAUACCGGAUAAUGUCUUCGGACCAAAGAUUUAUCGCCUUUGGAUGGGCCCGCGUUGGAUUAGCUAGUUGGUAGGGUAAAAGCCUACCAAGGCGACGAUCCAUAGCUGGUCUGAGAGGAUGAUCAGCCACACUGGGACUGAGACACGGCCCAGACUCCUACGGGAGGCAGCAGUGGGGAAUAUUGGACAAUGGGCGAAGGCCUGAUCCAGCAAUGCCGCGUGAGUGAUGAAGGCCUUAGGGUUGUAAAGCUCUUUUACCCGGGAUGAUAAUGACAGUACCGGGAGAAUAAGCUCCGGCUAACUCCGUG